RNAcentral lists this ribosomal RNA (467 nucleotides) under uncultured bacterium. RNAcentral describes it as "partial 16S ribosomal RNA". It matches the Rfam family "Bacterial small subunit ribosomal RNA", at positions 29 to 507 of the family's 1533-position model. The record is from RNAcentral.
ACGAACGCUGGCGGCGUGCUUAACACAUGCAAGUCGAACGGAAAGGCCCUGCUUUUGUGGGGUGCUCGAGUGGCGAACGGGUGAGUAACACGUGAGUAACCUGCCCUUGACUUUGGGAUAACUUCAGGAAACUGGGGCUAAUACCGGAUAGGAGCUCCUGCUGCAUGGUGGGGGUUGGAAAGUUUCGGCGGUUGGGGAUGGACUCGCGGCUUAUCAGCUUGUUGGUGGGGUAGUGGCUUACCAAGGCUUUGACGGGUAGCCGGCCUGAGAGGGUGACCGGCCACAUUGGGACUGAGAUACGGCCCAGACUCCUACGGGAGGCAGCAGUGGGGAAUAUUGCACAUUGGGCGGAAGCCUGAUGCAGCAACGCCGCGUGCGGGAUGACGGCCUUCGGGUUGUAAACCGCUUUCGCCUGUGACGAAGCGUGAGUGACGGUAAUGGGUAAAGAAGCACCAGCUAACUACGUG